RNAcentral lists this ribosomal RNA (466 nucleotides) under uncultured bacterium. Its description in RNAcentral is "partial 16S ribosomal RNA". It matches the Rfam family "Bacterial small subunit ribosomal RNA", at positions 29 to 506 of the family's 1533-position model. The record is from RNAcentral.
ACGAACGCUGGCGGCGUGCUUAACACAUGCAAGUCGAACGGAAAGGCCCUGCUUUUGUGGGGUGCUCGAGUGGCGAACGGGUGAGUAACACGUGAGUAACCUGCCCUUGACUUUGGGAUAACUUCAGGAAACUGGGGCUAAUACCGGAUAGGAGCUCCUGCUGCAUGGUGGGGGUUGGAAAGUUUCGGCGGUUGGGGAUGGACUCGCGGCUUAUCAGCUUGUUGGUGGGGUAGUGGCUUACCAAGGCUUUGACGGGUAGCCGGCCUGAGAGGGUGACCGGCCAAAUUGGGACUGGGAUACGGCCCAGACUCCUAGGGGGGGCAGCAGGGGGGAAUAUUGCACAAUGGGGGGAAGCCUGAUGCAGCAACGCCGCGGGGGGGAUGACGGCCUUGGGGUUGUAAACCGCUUUCGCCUGGGACGAAGGGGGAGUGACGGUAAUGGGUAAAGAAGCACCGGCUAACUACGU